Long non-coding RNA from Erpetoichthys calabaricus (reedfish), 2202 nucleotides. RefSeq lists it as uncharacterized. The record is from RefSeq and is a predicted model, not a curated record. NCBI's taxonomy places the organism in Eukaryota, Metazoa, Chordata, Cladistia, Polypteriformes, Polypteridae. The transcript is spliced from 3 exons.
AGCAUUGACACUUUUUUUUUUAAAUCUUCUAUCUUAAAACAGAGAAACAUUCUGUGCAACCAAAAUGCCAUUAAAAAACAUGGACUUCAGGUACUCUGCUAAUACACAUAAUGCCAUUCCAUUAUUACUGGUAUUUUUGAAAUGACUCUUUGUUAUGGAAACAUUUAGGAAACAAAAGUAUGAUAUCUGCCUGCUAGAUGAAGCAAAAAAAAUAUAUUAAAAUAUAAAUAAAUAAUUAAACAUGCUCCUCCAUUCACACUGGAACACAACUGACUUUGUGCCAGGCGUACAUUUUCUAACUUCUGGUGAACAUAGUUAAGGCCAUUGCAUUCAUCAAGAGCUUACAGUAUAGUGAGGUGGCACAUAAACAUGACAAGUGAGGCUAAGCUGAAAAAAAAUGUGUUAGUGCCACACAGGUGGCUUGGCAUUUAUUGACCACUUAACUUUAUGUGCUCUUGGUAGUGCCACACAGGAGGGUUGGCAUUUAUUGACCACUUAACUUUAUGUGCUCUUGUUAGUGCCACACAGGUGGCUUGGCAUUUAUUGACCACUUAACUUUAUGUGCUCUUGUUAGUGCCACACAGGAGGGUUGGCAUUUAUUGACCACUUAACUUUAUGUGCUCUUGUUAGUGCCACACAGGUGGCUUGGCAUUUAUUGACCACUUAACUUUACAUGAUCUUGUUAGUGCCACACAGGUGGCUUGGCAUUUAUUGACCACUUAACUUUACAUGAUCUUGUUAGUGCCACACAGGAGGCUUGGCAUUUAUUGACCACUUAACUUUAUGUGCUCUUGUUAGUGCCACACAGGUGGCUUGGCAUUUAUUGACCACUUAACUUUAUGUGCUCUUGUUAGUGCCACACAGGUGGCUUGGCAUUUAUUGACCACUUAACUUUACAUGAUCUUGUUAGUGCCACACAGGUCGCUUGGCAUUUAUUGACCACUUAACAUUACGUGCCUUUUUCCGAACUCCAUGCAGGCUUUUAUAUGUUGUCUGGCCACCCUGCCACCAAGUCCGGAUGUGGAGUAUUGCAGUGGUGGUUGUCCUUCUGGAAGUUUCUCCCAUCUCCACCCAGGUUCUCUGCCAGAGUGAUCGCCAGGUUUGUGGUCACCUCUCUCACCAAGGCCCUUCUCUCCAAAUUGUUCAGUUUUGCUGGGUGGCCAGCUCUAGAGUGAGUUGUCGUCAUUUCAGACAUCUUCAAUGUAAGAAUUAUUAAGGGUCCAUAAUAAGUAGGUGUGAUAAUGUUACUUUAUUAACACCCUGUAAACAGUCGAGUGCCCUGGAGCCAUGGCAAGGAGAUCUAUCUACCCUAUGUUGCUUUAGAAUGCCUCGCUGUUAGAAUCGAUCACUCAGACCUGUGCGUCUUUUGGUGUACAAGGUGACUCGUGUGAAAGAAGCGUAUGUCUCUGUUUUUAGCUGGGCUGCUGCCUGUGCCUUCUGAGCCACUUCAAACAAUCUACAAGUGCAGUGCCAGGUGUGCGACUGCAAGACCAGAGAAGAGUGAACCGGGGAGACAACGAUGGACCCCCAUGCUGGGCUGAUGGAGACAGAGAAAGAGAGAGAGAGGGGAGAUGGAGGUCAAUCAGGGGGAGAGGCAGGAGGACGGAGAAAUGAAAGAGGGGUGCAGCACGGAUGCCUCGCAUCUGGGAAUGUUACAAGAGAAUCCCGACUUUGAUUUUAAACUACUGAAUUUGGAAAACCUUCACCGUGGACACCGGGGUUGAUGAUACUUAUUGGAAGUUAUUACGUAUUUAUUAAGGAGAAAGAGCAGUGCACUGUUUUUGAGUGAGACACAUUGAAUAAAAGCACCUGCACUUUACGCCCAUCCAUUGCCGACGGUGUGUGUCCUCACUUGCUACAGCCCAUCCGUAGUUUAAGGGGUUCCCAAAACUGGUUUCCAGGAGUGUGGAGCCAACCCGCUUUGUCACGCGGUGAUGCUACAUUACAGAAAGACUUAUUUAACUACGACAACACAUCUGUGAGGCUGACUCACGGCCAGUUGGUAUAAAAGCUGCCCCUUAAAUGAGGGGUGGGUCCCGUUUUGCUGGCGCAAGGUGCAAAAUGAUUGGUGUACGUACGCUAAGUAAGCCCCCAGGCCUUGAAGGAAGCCCAGCAUGUGAAGAGCCAGCUUUGAUCCUGCCACUGGAAAGAAUACGGUCAACCCAGAUCCUCAAUCUUGAGCCUGUCAUUACAUUUUUGAUU